CAACCCUCAGGCCCUGCCUGGUGAUGGGGAUCCCGCGGUCCAACGCCGCGGGGCCCUGAAAAGCAGCGGCGGGCUCUGCUGAAACCCGAGCGUAGUAAUCUCUCUCGCUUAGGGGACCGGCGGGCGCCCUGCCCCCACACCUUUUAUUUUCCAAU
This 155-nucleotide unclassified non-coding RNA is filed under the name Sordariales sp. RNAcentral describes it as "partial internal transcribed spacer 2". RNAcentral also lists the same sequence under 1 other name. The record is from RNAcentral. Lineage: Eukaryota; Fungi; Ascomycota; Sordariomycetes; Sordariales.